This is a long non-coding RNA of Gadus morhua (Atlantic cod), 1708 nucleotides long. NCBI's taxonomy places the organism in Eukaryota, Metazoa, Chordata, Actinopteri, Gadiformes, Gadidae. The record is from Ensembl.
AAUGACGGCCACUCUGGAGCUGCUGGAGCUGAGGAGGAGAGUGGCGUCCGAGCUGACCACCGCGGGGUCGGGACCGCAGGUCAAAGCCGGGGUCCAGUCCAUGGCCGAGCUCCCUCUGCCCCUGAACCAGAAGUACCUUAGCAUCGACGCCGCAGCCAUAGUGCGGGGGAACACCGUGGGCGACGGCAGGGCGCAGGUUGUGGAGCGAAUGGGCAGACUGGUCAAAGCUCUGAAUGUUUUGGAGAAGUAUGGCCUCAACCUGCACAACCUUGCCAGACCCCGUUACUGGCGCAGUGUCAAGCACAACAACCCCAUCUUCAAAGCUCAGGUGGACAGCAUGCAGGUCAGUUAGACCCUCCUCCUCCUCCUUCUUCUUCUCCUUCUCCUCCCCCUCUUCCUUCUCUCCCUCCUCCUCCUCCUCCUCUUCCUCUUCCUCAGUCCUUCUCGAGGUACUGAGUUAGUGGUUAGAUGCCCACUGGAGUCACCAAUGCUAUGAAUACAUUCAUUGACGGUAUUGUGGGACGCUUUGAAAUUUUGAAUAAAGGUUUCCACCAAGUGAAACAUUACAGGAAAUAACAUGUUCUGUACAUACCAGUGGCCACUUGGUGGAGCAAGAGAGUCGACUUAUGUGAGUGGCAGCGUUGUUGUUUCAUGAUCAUAGCCUAAAGUAACUGAAGAAGUUCUGAAAUAGUUUUCACAAAGUGCUUGCUUAUAGUCGGAAAUUAUCCUGGAUGUAGAUGGGCAGGGGAGUAUGUUACUACAACAUGAUUAGUCACUUAACAUAGUAAGUAAAACACAGUCUUCACCACUAUUCAGACAAGUAAUGGUUUACAAGUUUGGUAUAUUCAAUUGCUCACAUAUUAUCAUCAUGUUUCCUUAGUUCUUCAAACAUGUAAGUCAACCCUGAUUUAAAUGCACUGAUUCCGCCUCUCCUUGAUGGCCUUCUCCACAGGGUGGGCGGGGCAUCCUCUAUCUCUAUGGUUACACCGUCCAGCAGGUCGACGGCCUGGUGUUCCCUGACGACGUCCUGCAGCCCGAUAGAGACAAGGUCGCCGCGGUGACCCUCGAGGUCACGUGCCUGCGCUUGGAGCUGGAGAUGCUCAUCAAGGUACCGGUGAUGGACCGGAGGCACUGGCGUAUCAGUUAUUGAUCCGCGGUUUACCGAAGGCCUACAGUAUGUUCAAUAAUCACAAUAUCAUGCAAGUCUACAAGUAGGAAUGUAACAGGAGUAUCUGGGCCGAGACAGUGGAGCCAAGAGGUUGUAAUAAGACCUCCCUGAGGAUGAUACCAGACUGCCAAUUGCAGUGGAUUAAAAGUGUGAUAUUACUCAUUCAUUACUCAUGAAUCAGCGAUGUUGGGUGACGUCACUUCUGUUGGUAUUUGAAGAAAGGAUCCAAACAAACAGAGCCGGCUCGCCCCUCCCUUCCCCCCCCCUUGUCGGUGAUUGGUUGGCAUACUAUUUAUUUUGGUUUUGAGUGGUUGGUAGUAACGUUUGAUUUUGUGUAUGAUCUCGGAGCAUAGGCUGCCUACAGAGACGCAUUUUUUGGACGACCUGCUUAAUGGGCGGGCAGCUAGCGGAUCGCGAGGAAAGAUCAGAUGAAUGAGAUCAUUUAUGUUUCGGUCUAGCAUCGGUGAUCCAAACUUUAACCUGUGGGGCCUGCUGUAGCAGUCACCACCGCAGCUCCACUACAACUAUUACUGAACCCUA